AGUGGAAAAGAAAUUUUUAGAAAUUCCUGGAAAAGAUAAAGAGGAUAGAAUGGAGUUGCUGGGAAAACCAAUCACAGCUGAGACCUAUUACCCAGAUUCACUCAAAAGAAGGUAUAGAGUCGCUAAACAGGGGUUUUGCAACAAAAGUCAGGAACUAUCCAAAGUUCAGAGGUGGUAGCUAGUGGCUGGGAACAGAAGCCAGAGCAGACAGCAAUUUCGGGACAUUGCAGAGCUGUAGUAGAUCUGUACUGGUCUGCAGACAGACAAUAAUUUGCACUAAGACCAGGAAGACGUUCUGUGAGGAAGACAUAGGUGGAAAUACGGAAAGCAGAAAAGACAACUUCGGGGUGGCCGGGAGAUAACAGAAGUUACUAAAUCCAUGGCUCAGCAAUGAACUUCCUACUCCCAGCAACUCUAAGAGGCUGCUCCUGAGGUGUCUCCCAGCCCAUGAGCUCUGAUGCAGUGCAUUCCUGCCAGGAACUUCAUUUCAGCCUCAGGUGCAGGUGCAGGUACCACAACUUACAUCUCUUUACAUGACCAGCUCUACAGAGUCCACAGUAAUGGCACUGUCAUUUUAUAAUGACAAUUGGCACAAAUCAGUUAGUCUACACUGGACAAAUAUAAGGAAAAAUAUAGCACUUAUUUUUCCUAUUUUUCAUAUUAUCAAGCAACAGUCAUAAAGCAGUCAAUUAAGUUAAUUGAAUUGGAAUAAGGAGAAAAUUGUUUAUAAUUACCUAGAAACUCACCUUCUAUAUUUCACAAGGAAGAGAACGCAAUUCAGAGAGUCUCAACAGUUUAUGGCAUGCAUGUUACAAAAGUGUAUCUCUUCUAUGUACAUUUCAUGAGUUAUAGUUCAUUUACAUUGGCUCACAUAAACAUUCAAGUCUCUAAAAUUGAGUAGUGUGAACAGUGCCCAGGUUAAAAGUAAGACUGGAAAGAAUUUGCUAAUAUAUACAACUAUAAUAAUUUGCGAGGCUGUAAUGAGCUGUGGGUUAGCCCGUCAUUUAUUCCUGCAUCUCACCAUGAUCCUUUCCUGCAGCUGUUCUGCAAACAUCCAUUCCUUCCCUUCCCUGGGACAGAUCUCAGCGACGAAAACUCUAAGUCUCUAAUUUAUUGAAUGUUCACUCUAUGCUAGGCCCUGAAGGAAGGGUGCCACACACAGUGCCUCUUUUAAAAUCACCAAUAACCUGGGAAAGAAGGUAAUCUUAUUAUCCCUGUUUUAUGAAAAUUAAAGCUCAGAUAUGUCAAAUAAUUUGUUCAGAGUUACAUAGCUUAAGUUCCCAAAGCAGGAUUAAACUGUGGGGCUUAAACUGUAGGAUACAGAAUUAAACUGUAGGAUACGAGAACUUGAGAUUUUUGUUAUAUUCUCCACAUGCCUAAGUAUUAAUCCUGAUAGGAGAGCAGGAUCAGGCAGGGGCUGGUAGUGUCAGCCUGACAAUAUUAAACAGCUUCCCAAGGGGCCCCCUGAGGCAGAAAAUCUUAUAUGUCUCCCCUCUCUCGGGAAAAAAAAAAAAAGUCUGAUUUUAUUUGAGAUAGGAAUGUACCUAGCUAAAUAUUUUUCUUAUCAUCCCUUCCAGCUAGAGUUGGCUAUGUGACACAUGACUAAUAAUAUUUAAAUAAAAGGCUGAAAGAAAUUCUGGGAAAGGCUAUGUUUACCUAAUAAAUGGGGACGAGUUGGACCAGAAUAUUCCCUCCUUUAUUCCUUUCUCAAAUGUAGACAAGAAGCUGGUAGAACUGCAGGCGCCAUCUUAAAGCCAUAAGGCAAAUCACAGAGAUCUUGGCAGUGAAUUUGAACUGCUGAACCCACAGCAGACCGCCUACCCUCAGACAUCUUAUCACAGAAAGAAAAUAUAGGCAUACCUUGGAGUUAUCACACGUUCCCUUCCAAACCACUGCAAUAGACUGAGUAUUGCAAUACAGCCAGUUACACAUUUUUUGGAUUCCUAGUACCUAUAAAAGUUACAUUUACAGUAUACUGUAGUCUACUAAGUGUGCAAUAGCAUUACGUCUAAAU
RNAcentral lists this long non-coding RNA (2014 nucleotides) under Homo sapiens (human). RNAcentral's name for it is "HSALNT0367106". The record is from RNAcentral. Lineage: Eukaryota; Metazoa; Chordata; Mammalia; Primates; Hominidae.